RNAcentral lists this long non-coding RNA (8379 nucleotides) under Fragaria vesca (wild strawberry). Its description in RNAcentral is "long non-coding RNA (FVES_LNC001751)". The record is from RNAcentral. Lineage: Eukaryota; Viridiplantae; Streptophyta; Magnoliopsida; Rosales; Rosaceae.
GGUUAUAAGAUUGUACUUGGAAUGAAAUUUAUCUAUGGUCAUAACUUGUGUGGAAGUAAGGUUAUUGUAUGCUGUGGCAUAAUGCACCAGACUUGUGCUUAUUUUCAUUGUCUCAUCAUCCUCGAACUAACGUUUUGCAAUUAAGUUAUGUUAAUCAUAUUGUCCUGAACAUAAUUGUCCCAGGUUCGGGUGUGGAGGAGUUGAUGGAAGGGGGUUUCUAAGUUGAGUCGGUCAAGUACAGUAAAAGUCAUAUACCAAAUGUUUCCAAAGAGACUCUAAAGGUAUAAGGAUAGUUGGCAAUCCUUUUAUCCUGCAAAACACCUUAAGAUGCUGUUGUCUGAUCAAGAACAAGUGGCACUAAUAUCCCUUAUGGUUUCAGGUAAAACAUGCAUCUGCAUAUCAUUGUUUUUCACAGAGGUUAGCAGCUUCGCUUGCUAUCCUAGUACUGAGUCUUUUGCUGUCCUGAGUUUCAAAGUUUGUUAUAUUAGUUUAAUAGGUCUUUUAAAUUCAAAUGGACAACUGAGUUUGUGGGAAGUGCCUUAGCGCUCAAAGUGCCUUAGCGCUCAAACCAGUCAAAGGGUUGAGAUCUUUUGUUAUGCCAACCCGUGAUCAAAUGGUUUGCUGCUCAAGGCUCCAGCUAGGAUUUCAUGAUACGUUAUCCUAUGAAGAGCUGGUCCCUGUGUGAUUCAAAGACCAGUCUCUAUCAGCUGGUUCAAGGUCCACUAAUGGACUGAGUAAGAGGGUUUGAAACCUCUUUGCUCCCUGUUUUGAAUCGUUCAUGUUUUAGGAAAGGUAUCUUUGUCUUAUUGAGAUUGCUUGUGUCAACUCUCCAUUUGGUUACAUCACUUUCAGUAUGAGAACCAAACACUUCUGUCCAAACAUUUCUGAAACAUGUUGAGGUCAGCUUGCAUCAUCUUUGAUGCCUUGUCUGCCUAUAUAUUGAAAAUUAUUACAGUAUUGCUAAGAGAGUCACAAAUGAGAAAUUGAAUGAUGACAUGCAUAUUGUUAGGAUCAGAUCAGAUCAUGGUACUGAAUUCGAAAACUCUUACUUUGAAAAUUAUUGUGAAGAGUUUGGUGUGCAUCAUGAAUUCUCUGCUCCUAUCACUCCACAGCAUAAUGGCAUUGUAGAAAGAAAGAAUAGGGUUCUUGUGGAAUUAUCUAGGGUUAUGCUAGCUGCAUCUGGUCUUGAUCAUUCUUUUUGGGCAAAAGCAGUAAACAAUGCUUGUUACACAUUAAACCGUGUAAUUCUUAAACCUGGAACAACCAUGACUCCUUAUGAGAUCUGGAGAGGUAGAAAACCAAAUAUCUCUCAUCUCAAAGUGUUUGGAAGUCUCUGCUUUGUCUAUAGGGACAGAGAAUAUUUGACAAAGUUUGAUGCUAAAAGUGACAAGGGUGUGUUCCUCGGCUAUGUUAGAAAUAGUCGAGCCUAUCGGGUGUAUAACAAGAGAACUUGCAAAAUUAUGGAAUCAGUAAAUGUGGCUGUUAAUGAUGCUCUUGUUUGCAAGAAUGAUGGGUGUGUUUUGUCUGAGCAGGUAUCUGAACAAGAAGCUGAACCUACUUCAUUCGAAACCACGUCUGAUCAAGGAGAGAAUGACUCAGGGAUGGAUGAUGACACAGAUCUUCCAGGAUCUGGGAAGGAUGCUACGCUUGCCAUUCAGCCAAUUCACAGAAGCGGCAAAAGACAAGUACAAAAGGACCAUGAUCUAUCCCAUGUAAUUGGGGAUGUGUCUGAAGCCAGAAAGACCAGGAGUAAGACUGGUCGGUUGGUGAGCAAUUUCUCAGUGUUUAAAUGCUUUGUUGGUAUGCAUAAAGAUGACAUCGACACCAUCACAUACUAUGGCUUUGUUUCUAUAAUAGAGCCAAAGAAUGUGAAGGAAGCCUUGCUUGAUGCUGAUUGGAUCAGUGCCAUGCAAGACGAGUUGAACCAGUUUGAAAAAAGCAAUGUUUGGCAUUUAGUGUCUAGGCCUAAGGACAAAAAUGUCAUAGGAACCAAAUGGGUGUUCAAAAAUAAAACUGAUGAAAAAGGCAUUAUCACUCGAAACAAGGCAAGACUUGUUGUGCANNNNNNNNNNNNNNNNNNNNAGAGCACAUUAUCAUUGCUCAGAUAUAUGUUGAUGACAUAGUGUUUUGGGUCGUACUUCUCCAUCUCUGGUGCAUGAGUUUACUGAGCUCAUGAAGAAAGAAUUUGAAAUGAGUCUCUGUGGGAAGUUAAGUUACUUCUUAGGUCUUCAAGUUGUGCAAAGUCAAAAUGGUCUGUUUAUCUGUCAAUCUAAGUAUGCACAGGACCUUGUUAAGAAGUUUGGGAUGGAAACGGCCACUGCCUUCCCCACUCCCAUGAGCACCAGCUGUAAAAUCAGUGCUGACCUGUCUGGUAUUAAUGUGGACCAAACCAAUUAUAGGAGUAUGAUUGGAAGUCUUAUGUAUUUGACUGCUAGUAGACCAGAUAUUGCUUAUAAUGUUGGUGUAUGUGCUCGUUAUCAAGCUAAUCCCAAACAAUCUCAUGUCAAAGCAGUAAAGCGCAUAAUCCGAUAUGUUGCUGGAACUCUUGAUCAUGGAAUUAAGUACACUUUUGACACUAAUGUUGAGAUUGCAGGAUACACUGACUCGGAUUGGGCUGGAGAUGCAAAUGACAGAAAAAGCACUUCCGGUGGUUGCUUCUUUGUAGGCAACAAUCUGGUUUCAUGGCAUAGCAAGAAGCAAAAUUGCACCUCUCUCUCUACUGCUCAAGCUGAGUACGUAGCAGCUGGUAGUUGUUGCACACAACUCAUGUGGAUGAAACAGAUGCUUGCAGACUAUGGUUUCUAGCAAGGUACGUUAUCUCUUUUCUGUGAUAAUACCUCUGCCUUAAACAUCUCAAAGAAUCCAAUAUUGCACUCUAGGACCAAGCAUAUAGAGAUAAGAUAUCACUUCAUUCGUGGCUUGGUUGAAGAGAAACUGCUUGAGCUUACUUUCAUUCCAACUGAAAAGCAAUUAGCUGAUUUGUUCACUAAACCACUUGACAAUGCUAGGCAUUUGAGUUUGUGCAAGGCUAUAGGGGUGUGUGACAACAAGUAAAUACUUCCUCUGCUAGUGUGUGUGUUCUGUUGGUGUACAUAUGCUUUUGUUUACAGUUCCUCUUUAUAGGUUCAGGAUUAGAGGACCUUCUUGGUAUCCUUAGUCAGUUUCUGAACUUGACCUAGGUGACUAUUUGCCCUUCCUUUCCUUGGUUCAGUCUUACUCGUCACAUAGGUGUGUGCACAUGUUCAGAUGUUGUGGUAUGUGGUCUGGCUUUUAUUGCAAAUCUGCAGUAUUCUUAUGUGCACUAUUACUGAUCAUUUUGGUUGCACUAAAGCUUGGGCUAUAUACUUGAGAUAAGAGUUCAUACUAAGGGGGAGUUUACUUUCUAAACUAAUCUCAAAGUAAACAUUCCUUGGUUGUGGUGAACAAUUCAAGGGUGAGCAGAAACGAGGUUGGUUUGAAGAUUGAGGUUCAAAGAACUCAAUGAUCUAGGCUAAUCUCAAAGUACACAUUUCUUGGUCGUGAUGAACGAUAUAAGGGUGGGAAGAAACGAAAUUGGUUUAGAAUUAGGAAGUCUGGUUGGAACAAAGUUGGAAAAAAAUUGAUUGACAAUCACAAAUGACUUCUUGAAUCAGCUAGUCCUCCACUUGUCUUGUUAUGUAGUGGGGAUUUCUGAGAUGCAUUCUAUCCUUCGAUGGGUUCGGAUGAUGUGUCCAUAUGAGUGUCCUUGUUACACAUAUUGUCCAAGGUCAACUGAUCUUGUGAAGCAUUGACACAUUUUCUGCUACUUGUACCUAUGAGGAAGAUUUCUCAGUUAAGGUUGUGAUAUUAAUGUUGGAUCAAAAUAAAUCCAUGGAUAAAAGUAGCCCCUGGACUUUAAAAUCAAAUUUUGGAGAGAUAAGGAUGGAAGGACUAGAUGAUAUCCCAGUAUGACAUGGCUCACGUUGACAAUAAAUACUUAGUUGAUGCCCUCAAGCUUUUCAAGCACCAUGUGGUUAUUAUCUCACUUACACACUCACUCUAAAGUGCUGCAAAAAUAUAUAUAUAUAUAUAUAUAUAUANNNNNNNNNNNNNNNNNNNNNNNNNNNNNNNNNNNNNNNNNNNNNNNNNNNNNNNNNNNNNNNNNNNNNNNNNNNNNNNNNNNNNNNNNNNNNNNNNNNNNNNNNNNNNNNNNNNNNNNNNNNNNNNNNNNNNNNNNNNNNNNNNNNNNNNNNNNNNNNNNNNNNNNNNNNNNNNNNNNNNNNNNNNNNNNNNNNNNNNNNNNNNNNNNNNNNNNNNNNNNNNNNNNNNNNNNNNNNNNNNNNNNNNNNNNNNNNNNNNNNNNNNNNNNNNNNNNNNNNNNNNNNNNNNNNNNNNNNNNNNNNNNNNNNNNNNNNNNNNNNNNUCUCGUCUCUCUCUCUCUCUCUCUCUCUCUCUCUCUCUCUCUCUCUCUCUCUCUCUCUCUCUCUCUCUCUCUCUCCUCUCUCUCCUUCUUCAUCCUGUCUUUCUCUCUUCUUCUUUAUCUUCUCGAAACCCACUCUUUUCUUUCUCUUCUCUGAGUUCCCUCUUCUCCCAUCCAUCUCCAAACCUUCUCUCGGUCAAAAAUGUCAAACACUCCGGCUGGCCCUAAUUUUGUCAAUCUCGGUGAUGAACCCACAAUGAAGGAGCCUUUGAAUCUGUUGCCUCUUCAAGCUGAGGUGCCUUUCCCUGGAGGCCAAUCUCUGUUGCUCACUGCUACCCCUGGAGGCCCCUCCAUAGCUGACAAGCUUCAAGCUCUGAUGGACCCAGUCCCUUCUGGUGCGCUAGGUAAACGACCCCACUCUCCCUCCGGUGAAAUUCCGGUCAAGAUCGCCAAGCCAUCUGCUUCUAGUGGUGGUGGACCAUCCUCGGCAGUCCCCUCUUCUCCAGCCUCUCCGGUUAGGUCUCCAAUUAGGACUCGCUAUCCUUCUUCUGAGGGUGUAUGGACCGAGUUGCCUGACCCAGCCCCUGAGCCCAAAUCCAAGCGCUGCAUGUCCAAGCGUCGAGCGCCGAGGCCUGCCUCUCCUCCUAAGACCGAAGGGCCUUCUGUUCCCCCUGUCACUCCUCAGUCUGGUAUGCCUAAGGAUCCUUCCUUUCCCAUUCCUCAUCCAUCCUCCAGCCCUAAGCCCUCAGAACGCUCCAAGCCGGCUCCGGUCUCUCGCAAUCUUCGUUCUAGGCCUCGAAAUGCUGUAGAUAGGGGCAAGGCUCCCUUGGAAGAACGUCAGGUCCCUCCUAAGAAAAGGUCUGGUGAGUCUGCUUCUACCAAUUUACCUCCUAUGUCUCAUUUUGAGUCUGACUCCCUUCGUGAUCUUUUCAAUACCUUUGUGGUGGGUAAGAAAAUUGUGUAUGAAAGACUCCUAGCUUUAGACUCUUUUCAUCCUGAGAUUAGGAAGCUUCUUCAGCAUUGGGGAUAGGAUCAAGUCUUAGAGUCCUUUCCUAAGGUUAACAAGACUUGGGUUCAAGAGUUUUACACCAACUUUCCCCAAAAAGCUCCUAAAAAGGUUAAGAUUCAGCGUCAAUCCCCUAUUGUUGUCCGGGUUCGGGGUAAGAAUGUAGAUGUCUCUCCUCCUGGGAUUCGUGCUAGUUUUUCUCUCCCCGAGACAGCACCGAAUGCCAUUCAGUCUGUCUUGGAAUUCAUUGACUCCAUUUCUCUUCAGGAUUUGGGUGCUGCUCUUUAUCAGUCCUCCUUUCCCAUUCCUGCCUUGACUACACCUCAUCUUUCUAGUCAGUUUAUGUCUGAACUUUUCAAGAUUUUAGGGUUUGUGGUGCGCUCUUUGCUUACUCCUACCACCAACACCAGUAAGAUUACUCACACACAGGCUGCUCUGAUUAAGUACUUGACUACGAGUCCCGUUAAGCCAGCCUUUCCUGUAGAGUACUUUAUGUACAAAGCAAUUUGGUCUGCUGGUACUUCCCUUCGUGGUUCCAGCUCUCUGGUCUUAUUUCCUGCUGUGAUUACAAAGCUCUGCUUAGAUGCUGGUGUUCCCACCAUGGAUGGUGAUAUGUUUGCUCAGGAGAAUGAAGCUGUUACGGUUGACAAGCUGUCCUUGGCUAAAUUUGUUGGUCAAUCUGGUGAUGUGUAUAUUGAGCCCCUUGAGUCCUCUUUGUUGAAGCAGGAAGUUAGGCAUCAGGUUUCCAGUGCAGUGGCUACCUUGACACAGUUGUUUGCUUCUCACCUUUCUGAAUUGACCCUGGAGCUGAAGGAGCUGAAAGAGUCCGUGAGGUCGCAUCAUGCCUCUGCUAUCCCCUCUGCUGGGGCCCCUGUAGCUGAUGAGGAAUCCUCCUCAGAGUCAGGAUCUGAGGAGACAUCUUCCAGUGAUGGAGAGGAAGCUGUUUAGUUCUGUGUGUUCAUGGUGUUCUGCCUUAGUGAUUUGUUUUAUGUUUCUUCUAGUUUGUUUUCCAUUGUAGGUUUCUAUUUCUUUUAAAACCUCUCGGAUAUUUUAUUCUCUGUUUCCCUUUGGUAUUCCUUGCCAAAAAGGGGGAGAAUUAGUUGUAGGAAUUGAUGGUUGCUUGGUUUAUGUUUGUAAGACAUUAUUAGUUUUUAUGGCUGAUCAAUACAAUGUUUUAUGACUGUUUAAUGCAAUAGUAAUUUCUCAGUGUUAGUGUGCUAAUAACUCAGUUGUAGUUUCUGUGAUUCUUCACUUAUUCUUGAAGUUGUUUUCUGCAGGUUGUUUUCCCUACAAAUGAAGUGUUUUGUGAAGGAAUGCCAAAGGGGGAGAUUCAAGGUAUAAGGAUAGUUGGCAAUCCUUUUAUCUUGCAUAACACCUUAAGAUGCUGUUGUCUGAUCAAGAACAAGUGGCACUAACAUCCCUUAUGGUUUCAGGUAAAACAUGCAUCUGCAUAUCAUUUUUUUUCACAGAGGUUAGCAGCUUCGCUUGCUAUCCUAAUACUGAGUCUUUUGCUGUCCUGAGUUUCAAAGUCUGUUAUAUUAGUUUAAUAGGUCUUUUAAAUUCAAAUGGACAACUGAGUUUGUGGGAAGUGCCUUAGCGCUCAAAGUGCCUUAGCGCUCAAAGUGCCUUAGCGCUUAAACCAGUCAAAGGGUUGAGAUCUUUUGUUAUGCCAACUCGUGAUCAAAUGGUUUGCUGCUCAAGGCUCCAGCUAGGAUUUCAUGAUACGUUAUCCUAUGAAGAGCUGGUCCCUGUGUGAUUCAAAGACCAGUCUCUAUCAGCUGGUUCAAGGUCCACUAAUGGACUGAGUAAGAGGGUUUGAAACCUCUUUGCUCCCUGUUUUGAAUCGUUCAUGUUUUAGGAAAGGUAUCUUUGUCUUAUUGAGAUUGCUUGUGUCAACUCUCCAUUUGGUUACAUCACUUUCAGUAUGGGAACCAAACACAACUGUCCAAACUUUUCUGAAACAUGUUGAGGUCAGCUUGCAUCAUCUUUGAUGCCUUGUCUGCCUAUAUAUAUCUAUAGCUUUGGCUUUGCUCAAUGGUUGUUGAAAACUGCCUUAUUGCGUUUUCUUUGUUGAGUCUAGUUUUUAGCUUGCAUUGUUCAUGCUGCUCUAAGUCUUCUUCGUGACUGUAAACCUUAGAGCUUGAACUCAAAACUUCUUUCAUCAACUCAUAUCAUGUUGCAUACCAUGAGGGAUGUGUAGUGCAACCAACUCAAGAAGCGUUCAAGGUUGAAUCAGCUAGUGGUUAGCUGAAUUCACGAACAAGGCUUCUAAAAGUGUUCCAUGUUGUAAGAACUUAGAAACAAGAGAGGGAAUAUGUCUAGACUAGUUUGGGACUAGGAAGGAUAGCACUGUGGUAGUGUAUUACUAGACAUUAUUCUUGUAAGAAGUUACUUCAACUUAGUGGAAAGUUUUGUCUCUCAAGAGUUAGAGACACGCAGUUUUUCUCCCUGCAUUCAGGGUUUCUGCGAGUAAAAAACAUCCUCGUGUUGUUUUUUUAUUUGCUGCAGUUUACUUUCUGCAAACUCGUAACCUGUGAAUCUGGGAUAGCACAAGUCAUUGCUAUCCUCGGAUACAGAAGUCAACGAAAAUUUAAAAAAAGGCCUAUUCACCCCCCUCUAGGACCUUUAGACUCAGCUAAUGAUGAUUUGUUUAGUGGCCUCAGAUUAGAGGCAGGGAAAAAGUGUGUAUAACAACGUCCAGAACUCAUCCAAAUAUUCUGCCAACAAUAAUUGUUUCUGGCUUGCUGCUUUUGAAAUCAACUAGGUUGCAGCUGUUUUCAGCAGGUAUACUACUCAAACUAUAAAUUGCCUUAUUUCUUAAUUGAUUGAAUUUCAUUUGUCUAUAUAGUUUCUAUUUUCAUAUGUAUAUGCCCCUAUGAUUUAUAGUCAUAUGAUUGCAUUCGUUUUUCUAAUAAAAGGUUGUUAAAGCUAGACAUGGUCAUUAAUACACUAUGAUUUACCAGGUUUUGGUCUAUAUAGUUUCAUUAAUAGACUA